RNAcentral lists this long non-coding RNA (4417 nucleotides) under Bemisia tabaci. RNAcentral describes it as "lncRNA ENSSSA2NGG005130". The record is from RNAcentral. Lineage: Eukaryota; Metazoa; Arthropoda; Insecta; Hemiptera; Aleyrodidae.
CACUACUUGCAAAUUCGCAAUUACUAUUAGGAAAUUAGCAAAUUAAUAUAAUGAUACGAAUAAUAAUGAAAUUUUCUAUUUCAGGGAAUGGAGAUGUUGAUUCAAAGAGGCCGCCAACAAUUGCAACUAUCAGAUGAUGAUGAAUUCAACCUAUAUUAUCUUUCAAAUGGUGAUCCGAAAUGGAAGACAAAUGUUUUUUCACCAAUCGGAGCGAAUUGAAAGGGUACUUGUACAAUUACAUAGUAUCACACAGGGCCCGACAAUUUCUUCGAUUCUGCUGACAUCACUGAUACUACGCGGCACAAAGCAAAAAAGAAUAGAACCCCGCAUGCAAGAGGCGAGUGCUGGCCUACUAGCAUUCACACCACGGAAGACGAGGCAAUUUGCCUACAUCCGUCGCCAUCCACAAGUAACGCCCCCGAAGGAUUUGUAUCACGAGCAGAAUUUGAGAAAUUGCAGGCUCAGUUAGCGGCACUCAAGAAGGAGGAUGCAAAGGAUGGAACUAAUGAUGUAAAGCUCCGUCCGUAAUAUAGUAUCUAGACAAGGAGAGCCAGGACCCCCUAAAAGUAAGAAGGGCGCUGUUACAAUGAAGGCUAAAAAGAGGGCUAAAGAGGAAUGUGAACCUAUAGGUAAUUCUUAAUAUUUUAAUAAAAUAAAAAUUGUAUUCACCAACAACUUCAUUGUUUCGGUAAUAAUAAGUUGAAAAUUUUACAUGUGGAACCCCAAUUCGAAUGACAGACUUGAAAUAAACACAAGAAAUAUCUUCGAAUCUUGCAUAUUAUUAGGCUCGAAAAUGAAGGCUGCUUAAUUGAGUAUUCUCACCUAUACAUUACGUAUUCUUAAACUUCUCUUUAUAGUAUUGUGAAUCAGGUGAUUACAAUCCAUUCUACUGUUCCUUACCCAAGAUACAUAUAUAUCCUUGUAAAUUAUUUUAUCUCUAAAAUGGUGUCUGAAACUUUGGAAAUUCAGGUAUUGGUUUGUCUCCACGAAAUCCUUCUUGUCAUACCAUAUUGUUUUAAGAGGAAUCCCGGAAAGAUUAUUUUAUCUCUAAAAUGGUGUCUGAAAUUUUGGAAAUUCAGGUAUUGGUUUGUUUCCACGAAAGCCUUCUUAUCAUACGAUAUUGUUUUAAGAGGAAUCCCGGAAAGGUGUUAAAGAAGGAAUACAUCGUAAGAUGCUCUUAUCGUUAGAUAAGUGAUUCUUAAACUUUUCUUAGAAAUAAUGUGGAUCAGGUUUUUAGCAUGCAUUUUACUACUUCAUAUAGUAAUUUGUUUAUGACUCAAGAUUCAGUAUUACAGAUUGAGACAGUAGAUCAGAAUCCAAUGAUUUGUGCCAUAUUACGACUACGGACUAUGGGAAAUAAUCUCUUCCUUCUCUUACUUUUAAACGGAAUUUACUCGGUUAAAAAACAUUUUUAAUUGUAUAAUUGUUUAGAAGAAAAUGACCUGCUUAUCAAUGUAACUUUCUUCAUUAGUUAUUAUACAUUUUGAGUUAAUUAGUAACUCUGCCUGAAGGCUUCAUUAUGAUUUUGUCAAACAAUUAAAUUCGGCUCUUAAUAGGCACGCAAAUAGUAAUGAUUAAUCGGCAAAAAGUAAUUGCAAAUUAGCAAAAGUUUUUACUUACCUGUUUGUAGUAUUAUACAAUAAGGUAUACUUCCUUUUUAUUACAUUAACUAACUGCAAUAAUACAGAGCUUCUUGAUAACAGAUAAUAUUGGUAUAAGGUAUUAAUUACAUGGCGUUUUAUCAUUUCAGCUCCGUCGGUAAUAGAAUCCCCACAAGGACAGCCUGGACCCCCUAAAAGUAAGAAGGGCGCUGUUGCAAUGAAGGCUAAAAAGAAGGCUAAAGAGGAAUGUGAACCAAUAGGUAAUUCCUAACAUUUUUAAUCAAAUAAAAACUGAAUUCUCCAACAACUUCAUUGUUUCGGUAAAAAUAAGUUGAAAACUUUAGAAGUGAAACCGCAAUUCGGAUGACAGACUUGAAAUUAACACAAGAAAUAUCUUCGAAGCUUGCAUAUUAUUAGGCUCGAAAAUGAAGGCUCGUUUAAUUGAGUAUUUUCACCUAUACAUUACGUAUUCUUAAACUUCUCUUAAUAGUAUUGUGAAUCAGGUGUUUACAAUCCAUUCUAAUGUUCCAAACCCAAGAUACAUAUAUAUCCUUGUAAAUUAUUUUAACUCUAAAAUGGUGUCUGAAACUUUGGAAAUUCACGGAUUGGUUUGUCUCCACGAAAUCCUUCUUAUCUAUACAUAUUGUUUUAAGAGGAAUCCCGGAAAGGUUGUAAAAAAGGAGUGCAUCGUACGAUGCUCUUUCCUUUAAAUAAGACAUUCGUAAACUUUUCUUAAAAAUAAUGUGGAUCAGGAUUUUAGCAUCCAUUUACUAUUUCAUACAGUAAUUUGUUUAUGACUCAAGAAUUCAGUAUUAAAGGUUAAGACAGUGGAACAAAAUCCAUGAUUUGUGCCAUAUUACCACCACGGACUAUGGGAAAUAAUCUUUUCCUCCUCUUACUCUAAAACGGAAUUUACUCGGUUAAAAAAGAUGUUUACUUGUAUAAUUGUUUAGAAGAAAAUGACCUCCUCAUCAAUGUAACUUUCUUCAUUAGUAAUUAUACUUAUUGAGUUAAUUAGUAACUUUGCCUAGGGCUUCAUUAUGAUUAUAGCAAAAUAUCAAUACAGCUUUUAAUAGGCAUGCAAAUAGUAAUGGCAAAUAAGCAAAAAGUAAUUGCAAAUUAGCAAAAAGUUUUUACCUACUGAUUGUAGUAUUAGUAUAAUAACGUAUACUUCCUUUUUAUUACAUUAACUAACUGCAAUAAAACAGAGUUAUUUGAUAACAGAUAAUAUUGGUAUAAGGUAUUAAUUACAUGGCGUUUUAACAUUUCAGCUCCGUCCGUGAUAGAAUCUACAAAAGGAGAGCCUGGACCUCCUAAAAGUAAGAAGGGCGCUGUUGCAAUGAAGGCUAAAAAGAAGGCUAAAGAGGAAUGUGAACCAAUAAGUAAUUCCUAUGUUUUUUCUCAAAGAAAAAUUGAAUUCACCAUCAACUUCAUUGUUUCGGUAAUAAUAAGUUGAAAACUUUGGAAGCGGAACCACAAUUUGGAUGACAGACUGGAAAUAAACACAAGAAAUAUCUUCGAAUCUUGCUGUCACGUUUUAAGGAUUUCUCGAGUUUUUAGACCGACUGAAAAAGUCUAAAGAUCCUUAACGCGGCGGAGAUCGUGGGAGAGCGAAAUUAAAAGAGAUGUGGUUUAGCGGGUGACGUAUAGAUUCGCGUGUAUUGUAAAAUCAAUGAAAUCGUUACGAAGUUGGUGACGGAUACUCGGAGCACUGAAAGGAGGGCUGUGCUAGUUGGAAAAAUCGAAGUACUCGGCUUCGUGGUGGAAAUCGAAGUCCCGAGCCUCCUCUGUCCAAAGAGGAGCUCAGUGCCGAGAGAGUCUUAUCUUUCAAUCCAUCUCGUGACGCUGGCAAUCAAAAAAACAUGAUAAAGAUAGAUGCGUACGACUGAUCACAGCAACGAGUAAGUGAAGCUUGCUCGAUGCUGGGUUCUGAAAAUUCAUAGAGAGAGACCGAAAAUAUGGGAGAAAGGGAGAUAGAGAAUCUCUAUGAAUAAACGCGUUGCGGUAUACACGCGACAUCCCCCUCGCCGAUGAGAAAUCGCUUCUGCGAUUUCAACAUGGAAGGUGAAUGCAGGAAAAAAAGAAAGUACAAAAAAAUAAAAUAAAGAAAGGUAAGAAAGGUAGGGACAUAAAAAAAAAAAAAUGGGGUCUAGUGAUCAGUCAGGUAGGAUUGAAAGAUUCAACUGUACAGAAAAUUAUUUAAAAUCAUUGUAGAAAAGUCCUUAGUAUCCAGGAUUUGUCGAUUGUCGAUUUCAUCUCAAAGGGUGCGUCCCUAAUAGCACAGUGACACAAUGGAAUGUUUUUAAAAUGUUUCAAAUUAUUUCAAUCUCGGAUCAAUCAUUGACACGUUUCCAACACAUUUUCAAAACGAAUACAUGAAACGGGCAAGUUAACCGUGUCUUUGAAACAUAUUGAAAACAUAUCGAAAAUGUUUUAAAUUGUGGUCAUUCAAACUUUUUUAAAAUGUGUUAGAAACGUUUCAAACUUAUUUCAAAAAAGCAUAAAAACCAUCUUCAAAAAAACGUAUAAUACUUGUGUCAGAUAUGUGUUGUAGAUAUAUUGCAUUCCGUUCAAUAAACUGUAUCAGAAAGGUUUCAAAAACAUUUCAAUUCCAUUGCCACAGGUAAGCCUAUGAUUGAAACAUAUUUACGGAACAUUUCUGCCACAAUUUAUAUGAAAAUCAAUGAACCUUUAUUGACACCAAUCAGAAACAAUUUGUAAUAGUGUCAAUUUUUUUUUUAUCGACCCAAGCACAGAUUCAUAUUAGAUUUGUGUACGAUAUGUUGUGAAAGGAGAUCAACUAAAUAUUUUGGAAA